This 1723-nucleotide long non-coding RNA is filed under the name Linum usitatissimum (flax). RNAcentral's name for it is "long non-coding RNA (LUSI_LNC006477)". Lineage: Eukaryota; Viridiplantae; Streptophyta; Magnoliopsida; Malpighiales; Linaceae. The record is from RNAcentral.
GGUAGUUUGUUAAAACCAUUAUAAUCGAGGCUUCCAAAUUAAUUAAAAAUUAAUAAAAGGGUAUAUUUAUAAAUCUUCCAUAGUACAUGAGUAUAAAUAUGUAUUAAUUCAAUUCUUAAUUAAUUGAUAACUAAAACAAAAUCUAAACCUUAUAGGAUAUGGAUAGGGAUACAGUAAUGAACCUUAUAUAUUAAAACCCUAGCCAGCUCCGCCGUGCAAUUUGCAAGGAUGGAGGCAUACAAUAGACCAAGCGACGCCGGUGGCAGCGGUGGUGAAGUAGACAGAAUCUCAGCUUUGCCGGACGACAUUAUUCAUGAAAUCCUCAGACACUCAUCAGAACCUGCUAAACUAUCCGUCCUCUCGAAGAGAUGGAAUCAAAUCUAUCACUCCAGCCCGACUUUGAAAUUCGACACCUCUUCCUUGGAAUCCAAGCAAUGCCAAAGAAGGGAUAGUGGCCGCCGCCUUACAAUCCUGUAAGAGGUUGUUCAAAGGCCGCAGUAGUAACAGCAUCCCCACGGAAUCCGUCAUAAUCCAUACGUUGAACCCCUUACCAGACGGUUUCCUCAACGAAAUCUUGGUAUUGACUACAAAGAUUUCGCCUUGAAAGAUCGACAUUGACUUAGACAUAUGCUCUAUUGACGACCGGUACAUUAUGCCACAAAGCUUCUUACUACUACGUCAGAGCGACGAUGAUGUGAUGAUAACUACCAAUUCUUCCGCCGCCUUACAAUCCUGAAGUUGAAACGAUGCAACUUCCGUUCUUACCAAGCAAUCGAAAACCCUAAUUUUCAGGGUUUAGGAAUCUCCAUAAAAAUUGAAGUUUUACUAUGUUAAACCCUUCAAAUAAUAGAAAAAUAAAGUUUAAAAUAUUUUUCAACAUGUUAAAAUAAUACCGAGAAUGAAACUACGUUUGACCAUUAUUUAUAAGGAUUACCAUAAUGAAACUUUAUUUUUUUAUCUAUUUUCAACAUCCACGUCAAAUAUUAGUCGAUUUAAAAUUUUUGAAAUUUUCAUAUCAAAAUAGCUCAUUUCCAUAUGUUAACCUCUUUAAAAAUUGACCAAUUUUGCCAUGAAAGUUUUUAAAUUAACUAAUAUUUGACAUAUAUAUUGGAAAUAGCUAAAAAUUAAGAUUUAUACCAAAAUUUAUAAUAUAUAAUUGCAUUCUUUAUAAAUAUGGAUAAUUAAAUAUCGAUCUCUCACCCCUAUCUAACCACUCUCAAACCAUCGUGCUAGUGGUCCGCCUUGUUAAUGCGGCCUAACAAUCUAACAUACAGACGCAAAUCGAACUGCACACUAAAAAAAAGAACCCUAAAGUCUCAACUAGGUAGUUGAAUACUUACCUAGAUUAAUGUAACUAUAUUAUAGAAUCCUAUUUUAUGAACAACAUGAAAUAAAAAUAUGAUCAUAUUAACCACACAAAAAAAUAAGUAACUUUGGUUAAAAUAUUUAAAUCUUCCGUUUUUUCGAAAUUUCUAUCUCAAAUCACUUUUGAUUUAAUUUUUUAACAAGAUCCAAAUCACCUAUCCAAAUUAUUUAUCCUCAUAUUCUCGAGACCGUAAUAUUUUAUUGGAUGUUCCUUUACACUGUAUUUUUAGAAAAAAAGGUUAAUACUAAUUUUCAUGCAUGACGUAUACAUUUUAUUCUGAUACAAAAUGACAACGAACGUUAAUAUCAAUCAAUGUCUCAUAAUCCAACCGAAAACUAACUUCUCAACCGGUUCACA